GGGGCCGUCAGAUAGCUUGGUCUAGUCUGCGAGGCUCCAGACCUCGUCGCCUGGGUUCAAAUCCCAGCGGCCCCA
The sequence is a transfer RNA, 75 nucleotides long. It matches the Rfam family "tRNA". Rfam says of the family: Transfer RNA (tRNA) molecules are approximately 80 nucleotides in length. Their secondary structure includes four short double-helical elements and three loops (D, anti-codon, and T loops). Further hydrogen bonds mediate the characteristic L-shaped molecular structure. tRNAs have two regions of fundamental functional importance: the anti-codon, which is responsible for specific mRNA codon recognition, and the 3' end, to which the tRNAs corresponding amino acid is attached (by aminoacyl-tRNA synthetases). tRNAs cope with the degeneracy of the genetic code in two manners: having more than one tRNA (with a specific anti-codon) for a particular amino acid; and 'wobble' base-pairing, i.e. permitting non-standard base-pairing at the 3rd anti-codon position.